This 468-nucleotide ribosomal RNA is filed under the name uncultured bacterium. RNAcentral's name for it is "partial 16S ribosomal RNA". It matches the Rfam family "Bacterial small subunit ribosomal RNA", at positions 28 to 507 of the family's 1533-position model. The record is from RNAcentral.
GACGAACGCUGGCGGCGUGCUUAACACAUGCCAGUCGAACGGAAAGGCCCUGCUUUUGUGGGGUGCUCUAGUGGCGAACGGGUGAGUAACACGUGAGUAACCUGCCCUUGACUUUGGGAUAACUUCAUGAAACUGGGUCUAAUACCGGAUAGGAUCUCCUGCUGCAUGGUGGGGGUUGGAAAGUUUCGGCGGUUGGGGAUGUACUCGCGGCUUAUCGGCUUGUUGGUGGGGUAGUGGAUUACCAAGGCUUUGACGGGUAGCCGGCCUGGGAGGGUGACCGGAUACAUUGGGACGGAGAUACGGCCCAGCCUACUACGGGAGGCAGGAGAGGGGAAUAUUGAACAAUGGGCGGAAGGCUGAUGCAGCAACGCCGCGUGGGGGAUGACGGCCUUCGGGUUGUAAACCGAUUUCGCCUGUGACGAAGCGUGAGUGACGGUAAUGGGAAAAGAAGCACCGGCUAACUACGUG